Molecule: long non-coding RNA, 959 nt
Filed under: Nicotiana benthamiana
Lineage: Eukaryota; Viridiplantae; Streptophyta; Magnoliopsida; Solanales; Solanaceae
Description: long non-coding RNA (NBEN_LNC029303)
Source: RNAcentral
GCAAGGAUUUAAGCAAGUACAACCGAAUAGUGAAACUCAAUUUACUGAAAUUUUCACCCCGGGCAUAACUCUUGUUUUCCUUCCUCUAGUAAUUUGAAAAACUUCCUUGCUUCGUCAGAUUGUCUUUCCCAAGCUCCUAGUUCAUCCCCUUCCUGACCCUCUAUAUUUCUAAAUGUAUCAUGAAGCAUUCCAUCAAUAUCAUCACGCAUGUUAGAACCUUCAUCAUCAUUGCUGGGAGAAUGUGUAUUUCUCGAGGAUAAUUCCUCCCCGUGGAAAACCCAUUUGGUAUAACCAUCAACAAACCCAUGAACAACUAAAUAAUCUUCCACCACAUUUCUGUGAUGCCAAUAGCGAUUAAUGCACUUUUUACAAGGGCAUAAUAUUUCAUUUCCUUGGGCGGCUCGCUCAAAUGCCUUAUCAAGAAAAUUAUUCACCUGACCUAUAUACUCAUCCGUCCAUCUAAGGAGAUUCAUCCAACUUUUAUCACCAUAAUCCAUGGAUAUCCUAUAUAAUAUAUUCAAAUCACCAAAAUGAGUAUUCAAAGUAUACAAGGAAUUUACUUAGAAACAAGCACUUCAAGUAUGGACGCUCUGAAAGAUCCAACUGGAAUAAAAAUAAAAACAUGCAAACAAGUAGUAAGUUGUAAAUUAAGUAUGUACAUAGAAUGCAAGGUUUUACUUAGAAACAAGCACUUCAAGUGUGGACGCUCUGAAAGAUCCAACAGGAAUAAAAAUAAAAUAGGUAAACGAGCAGUAAGUUGUAAAUUAAGUCUACAGAUAGAAUGUUAAAGAUAGAAAUCAUGCUUUCGAACGCAUAUUACUAUUUUGCGUAUCAUAAGUAAAGUCCACUUAAGACGAAAACACUCCUUACCACAAUUCUCUCCAUUCACAAGGUUCAAAUUUAAACUCCUAACGAAAGGUCGAGGGAUUUCAUCUAUCUCUAUAUAGUCUUGGAUGAUA